GAUGAACGCUGGCGGCGUGCUUAACACAUGCAAGUCGAACGAAGCACUUUAUUUGAUUUCCUUCGGGACUGAUUAUUUUGUGACUGAGUGGCGGACGGGUGAGUAACGCGUGGGUAACCUGCCUUGUACAGGGGGAUAACAGUUGGAAACGGCUGCUAAUACCGCAUAAGCGCACGGCAUCGCAUGAUGCAGUGUGAAAAACUCCGGUGGUAUAAGAUGGACCCGCGUUGGAUUAGCUAGUUGGUGAGGUAACGGCCCACCAAGGCGACGAUCCAUAGCCGAGCUGAGAGGGUGACCGGCCACAUUGGGACUGAGACACGGCCCAGACUCCUACGGGAGGCAGCAGUGGGGAAUAUUGCACAAUGGGCGAAAGCCUGAUGCAGCGACGCCGCGUGAGCGAAGAAGUAUUUCGGUAUGUAAAGCUCUAUCAGCAGGGAAGAUAAUGACGGUACCUGAAGAAGAAGCACCGGCUAAAUACGUG
RNAcentral lists this ribosomal RNA (481 nucleotides) under uncultured bacterium. Its description in RNAcentral is "partial 16S ribosomal RNA". It matches the Rfam family "Bacterial small subunit ribosomal RNA", at positions 28 to 507 of the family's 1533-position model. The record is from RNAcentral.